Long non-coding RNA from Coregonus clupeaformis (lake whitefish), 168 nucleotides. RefSeq lists it as uncharacterized. The transcript is spliced from 3 exons. The record is from RefSeq and is a predicted model, not a curated record. Lineage: Eukaryota; Metazoa; Chordata; Actinopteri; Salmoniformes; Salmonidae.
AGGAGAAGGGAAGAACGGCCAUUUUGAUCUCUCUGAGGGGAUCUUGUUUGGUGACAAGGUUGUUGCUACCUGUAACACUGGCUAUAUGCUUGUGGGCAGCGAUGUAAGGACCUGUAUGGACGGAGGCUGGGAUGGCAGAGUUCCUUUAUGUGAAGUGGUGAAGUGUGG